UCGUGUCGUUUUCUUGUUGCUGUGAAGCGGCCCAGCACAACUGCACACAACUUUUAUUCGUUCCCCUUUGUCGCUCGUCACCUCGCUCGCACUGACGUCCGCGGCAGCGUGGGAGAAGAUUGAGCACUGCCGCCUUGUGUUGAGCGCUUCAGACGCCGAAGCGGCGCACAGCAACGGCCACGGCGCGCUGCCGACUCAGCACGCAGUGACGCGUACACCGCCAUCCUUGACUGCAUCGACACACAUCUUUUACGUACGUCUCCCACACCCACCUCACCCACACACGCCCAUACCCGCGCCGAUAUUCGGGUUGUCCAGCCCCCACUCUUCAUCCUCCUCUUCUACAAACCUCAAUCGUCUGCGAAGCAAAAAUGAGCGACGUGGACGUGGUGGCGAAUUUCGUGGUCAUGACGGGGGCCACCGAGGAUCAAGCCAUCCACUACCUUUCCACGUACAACUUCAACUUGGAGGAUGCUGUCGUGGCGUUUCAGGUAGACAAUCCUCAUCCCUCGCCGCCGCACACACGAGAGGACUCUCCACACUACUCCAGCGUCGACACAGGGUCACCCAUGAGCGCGCCAUCGCCGGCCUCGCACCAAGUGGAGGGCUUUGCGUUCCCCCAGGCGGCUCAGCGUCCACCCACGCCACCGCGACAGCGAGCUCUUGCCUCCUCGACUGCCGAAGCGAUACAGCGCCUCUUCGCCCGUCCUGACUACGUAGUGGGCAGCGACAGAGCCACCUUCGACGCUGAGUGCGAGAAGGCCGCAUCGCGCCACUGCUGGGUCGUCGUGUCCGUCGUGGACAACUCGUUCCCCUGCGAGUGCUUUACCCGCGAUAUCUGGGCCAGCGACGCCAUGCGCUCCCUCACCAGCGGCAGCCUGUUUUGCUAUGAGAUCAACGUCACGCACACCCGCGGCAUGGCCCUGGCCGAAAAGUACCACGUCGACAACAGCAAUCUGCCCCGCAUGUUCAUGGUCGAUCCGGUGACUCAGUUUAAGGUGCAGGAGCUGCCGCUCAUCUCCUCUGAGGUGUGGCAGUUUGACAGUGCCGUUGUAGUGGAUGCCAUCAUGCUCUUCAUCACGAACCACGACCCCCCGCACGAUCCGUUUGCCGGCGCGGAUGAUCAGCCGCAAAACGAAGGCGGCGGUGGCGAUAGCGCUGAGUCGGCGUCCGCGAGUGCAAGCGUGAAGGCGCCGGCCGUGGUAGACGUCGACGAGGGAGACAGCGAGGCCGAGAUGGUAUCGCCUCCGACGAUAUCACGGAGCGUAGCCGGCGCGGUUGCUUCCACGACGAGCACGCUGGAGGUUGGCGAGCCGGGUCCAGUCGUCGCUCCCUCCCCGGUGACGCUGGACGAGUACAAGGUCCCGGAGGGCACCACCGGCGAUGCAAGCAGCGUCUUUCGACUGCGAUGCCGACUGCCGCAUUCGUCUUCCACUCUGCAGCUGCGCCCUGACACCCCGGUAGCGAGGCUCAUCGACUACUUGGCGUAUCUCUUGUACGCGGAGGACACCACGCGCUAUGCGGUUCCGCCGCGGAUUAGCAUCUUCAGUGGGUUUCCUCCAAAGAACAUGACUGCCGGGGAGAUGGAGGGCAUCACGCUGAGCACGUGGGACGGCGUGCGGAGCGGCGAUGUCUUGAUGGUUCGCGUGAAUGCGUGACAUGCCGAAGGCAUUUCGUUGCUGUGCGAGAAGGAAGUCUCCGGGAGUCUGCUGCUGCUGCCGGCCGCUGCCGGCGGUGCAGCUGUUGCGACUGACGCGUAUAUAUAUAUAUAUACAUCCGAAUCACUGUUUUCGCCACUCCAUCUGCGUCUGGGUACACGCGACCACACACGUGCUCGCAAAUCUUCCCGUGAGCCACUUGGGUCGCUCUCUGCUCCUAUCCGUUGAAAGAAGACGCAGAGCGCACAAAACGACAGCCGCUGCUUGCGUUGCCUUUACCUGGUCUUUAGGUGCCAUCAGACGCUCGCGCAUGUGCGUGUCUGCUGAAGCUUCUGGCCGUUUGUGUGUGAGAGUACGUUUCACUGCCUUGUCGCCGUCGACAUCACGUGGGACUCGACUGCUUUUCACGACCAGGUGCCUGCGGAGGUGUACUGAAGGUUUGCUCCUUGCGGUAACGCAGCCACGCACAAAGGCGGCCCACGAUAGAAAGGUUCGGGGUGAGGAUGUUGCAUCAAAACGCUCUGCGUCCCAUGCCGCGCAGGUGUGAUGGUGAUUGUACCAACGGUCGAUGCAUGCGCCGCGUGUGUUGCUGGGCGCUCGUCCACUGGACUUGUCUUCCAUUCAUUUUGUGCUGAGAAGAAACAUACAUGCACUACAGCUGGUGAAGAGCAGCCGUUCAU
Molecule: unclassified non-coding RNA, 2338 nt
Filed under: Leishmania donovani
Lineage: Eukaryota; Euglenozoa; Kinetoplastea; Trypanosomatida; Trypanosomatidae
Description: gene:LdHU3.29.0480(CDS-product:UBX_domain-contain ing_protein)
Source: RNAcentral